UUGAUCAUCAUGCGGAAAGGAACCUUAUCUUUAAAAUUUAUUUGAAUAGACAAUUACAAAUCUUUUAAUAUUCUUUCUGAGUACGGCGAAGAUUAAUUUUUCUCAACCUAGUUAUUUAUAAUCUGGGUGCCUCCCUUGCCCCUUGACUGUACUAAAUUAAAGUUUAAAAUGAAAAAAAAAAUCCACAACAAUUAGGAUUUUUGGCAUGAAUAAAGCUAAAUAGAAAAACUAAAAAAA
RNAcentral lists this long non-coding RNA (237 nucleotides) under Phoenix dactylifera (date palm). Its description in RNAcentral is "long non-coding RNA (PDAC_LNC006165)". Lineage: Eukaryota; Viridiplantae; Streptophyta; Magnoliopsida; Arecales; Arecaceae. The record is from RNAcentral.